CGAAAAUAAAUUGCUUUGUGGAGGUUAUAUAACUUUAACAUACAGUUCUACGUUAUUCUACUUUUUAAAAAGAAACGUCUGAUAAGCUAUCUUUUAAUUCCAUGAGAAAUGACCAUAUGUUCGUAUUAUUAACUUAGUAAUAAGUCUGUAAAAAUGAAGAAUCUAGUUUUAGUUGGAAUCUUGUCAUUCUAUUUCCUGUAUGGCGUCGAAUCAUUAACCCAUUUGCAUCAGUCUAUAGAUUGUGUUGAUGGUAAGACGGCUGUAACAGAAGUUGUGUUUUGUAAAAAGGAUCCUUGUUAUCCCCUGCUAAAAUGUGUCAGUAAAUCUGAACACCUGUGUUCCCAAUAUAAACCAUGUUUGAACCAUGGUGUAUGUCAACCACAAGAUGAUGGCAAUUUCCAAUGUGUUUGUAGAAUUGGAACUAUUGGUCGCUACUGUGAAAACUUUUUACUAUCUUGAGUGUUAUGUAUGUAUGUCCAGAUACAAAAUUUUCAUUUCUAGCUCAUCUAGAAAUAAAUAGACCAUAGUGCAAAAAUA
Molecule: long non-coding RNA, 537 nt
Organism: Patella vulgata (common limpet)
Lineage: Eukaryota; Metazoa; Mollusca; Gastropoda; Patellidae
Exons: 5
Source: RefSeq, a predicted model, not a curated record